ACGAUGAAGACGCAGCGAAAUGCGAUACGUGGUGUGAAUUGCAGAAUUCCGUGAAUCAUCGAAUGUUUGAACGCAACUUGUGCCCGAGGUUUGUCCCGAGGGCAUGCCUGCCUGAGCGUCU
Molecule: ribosomal RNA, 121 nt
Filed under: Selaginella prostrata
Lineage: Eukaryota; Viridiplantae; Streptophyta; Lycopodiopsida; Selaginellales; Selaginellaceae
Description: partial 5.8S ribosomal RNA
Rfam family: 5.8S ribosomal RNA
About the family: 5.8S ribosomal RNA (5.8S rRNA) is a component of the large subunit of the eukaryotic ribosome. It is transcribed by RNA polymerase I as part of the 45S precursor that also contains 18S and 28S rRNA.
Source: RNAcentral